RNAcentral lists this ribosomal RNA (427 nucleotides) under uncultured bacterium. Its description in RNAcentral is "bacterial SSU rRNA". It matches the Rfam family "Bacterial small subunit ribosomal RNA", at positions 355 to 775 of the family's 1533-position model. The record is from RNAcentral.
CCGAGAAUUUUUCACAAUGGGCGCAAGCCUGAUGGAGCGACUCCGCGUGGGGGAUGAAUGGCUUCGGCUCGUAAACCCCUGUCAUUUGCGAUCAACCGUUAUUAUUUAAAAGAUGAUAACCUGAUAGUAUCGAAAGAGGAAGGGACGGCUAACUCUGUGCCAGCAGCCGCGGUAAUACAGAGGUCCCAAUCGUUGUUAGGAUUUACUGGGCGUAAAGGGUGCGUAGGUGGCGGUGUAAGUCGGAUGUGAAAUCUCCGAGGUCAACUCGGAAACUGCAUUGGAAACUACAUUGCUCGAGGGUUGGAGGGGAGACUGGAAUACUUGGUGUAGCAGUGAAAUGCGUAGAUAUCAAGUGGAACACCAGUGGCGAAGGCGAGUCCCUGGACAACUCCUGACACUGAGGCACGAAAGCUAGGGGAACAAACAG